AAGGAAAAUCCAGCUACUUGAAUGAAAUUUCAGGAAAAAGAAGGAAAGAUUACCAGAGUCGGAUUGGAACCACGGGAAAGAUCGAAAAGGAUCAUCACCGGAUAGGUUGGAAGAGUCAUCGGUGGCUUUGACCACGAUAUGAUGGCGAGAAGAACGAGAUGAUGAGAAAUUGAAUGAGGAUCUGAAAAGCGGGGAGAGAGGAGAUGAUAGCGUGGAACGAGAAAUUGAUGCAAGAGAAGAAGGGAAUCUGAAUCUUGAGGAGAUGAUAGCGGUGGAAGAAGCCCUAGCAAUGGUGGUGGAGUUUCAGCGGUGACCAAGCACCCCUUUCUUCUCUCCUCCAUCGCGUUUUCUCUCUCCCUCGAGCUCUCUUUCACCGGCGCUCGACAGCGGUGGAGCCAUAUGCGGCGUCGUCGUUUCUUUCCUUCCUUCCCCUCUCCUCUCUUCUUCUCUUCUUCUUCCUGUGCUCCCCUUUUCUGAUUUCUUCUCUUUCGUGUGUGUGAGUUGAGGGAGGAUGAGAGUGCGUGAGUGAGGCUGAAUGGAUACGAAAAGGGGGAAAAAUUUACCUAAUGUGAGAGCGCAGCGAACAGAAGCGACGAUGAAGACUAGUGAUGGCGUGGUGAGUGGUGAGUGACGAAUAUGAGUGACUGGUGGAGAUGGUGAGUGGUGAGUGGUGAGUGGUG
RNAcentral lists this long non-coding RNA (680 nucleotides) under Arachis ipaensis. RNAcentral describes it as "long non-coding RNA (AIPA_LNC002216)". The record is from RNAcentral. Lineage: Eukaryota; Viridiplantae; Streptophyta; Magnoliopsida; Fabales; Fabaceae.